GCUGCAAGUUUCCCCUCGUGGAGGUGGGGUUUCUAUAGCGCUGGGAGAGCUCUCUCCAAGCGCUGCGCCGCGACAACACAAGCCACGUUAAAGCACGGGCAGCGUGUGAACGUUGCUAGUGAAGACGUGCCCUUAUAGACUCUACCCGAUGAAGCAGCAAAUCCGUACACAUUUCUGUAUUGCAGCACAGCAGGUACAUGAGCCUUCUACCAAAACCAGGGAGAGAGACAGACACAGCCCCGGUGUGACGGAAACAGCCAGAGACGGGUGCAGCUGUUCCACUUUGCAGAAUUAGCCACCGACUUCACCCCAGAGACUCUUUACUCAAUGGAGCAGUUGGGACCUGUCUGCAAUGUGAGGUUUGCGCUGGAGCAGGAAACAGGUGCACGGGCAGCAUGCAGACCUGCGCCGCUGGGCAAGACUCUUGUGGCAUCUUGCUUACUGACAGCAUACAGGCUCCCCCAAAAUGUCUAGGGGACAGAAAUCCUCUAUAGAUGGAAAACUCCCACCCGUGGGCACACACAAGAAAUUGUACUCACCGGUGUU
Malaclemys terrapin pileata is the source of this 546-nucleotide long non-coding RNA. RefSeq lists it as uncharacterized. Lineage: Eukaryota; Metazoa; Chordata; Testudines; Emydidae. The transcript has 3 exons. The record is from RefSeq and is a predicted model, not a curated record.